Long non-coding RNA from Dreissena polymorpha, 961 nucleotides. RefSeq lists it as uncharacterized. The transcript is spliced from 2 exons. The record is from RefSeq and is a predicted model, not a curated record. NCBI's taxonomy places the organism in Eukaryota, Metazoa, Mollusca, Bivalvia, Myida, Dreissenidae.
UAUACGCCCGUAUAAAAUACGGGACGUAUUAUGUGAAACCCCUUGGCGGCGGGCGGCGGGCGGCGGGCGGCGGGCGGAAGGCAUCACUUUGUCCGGACUCUAAUUCAAAUUGUAUUCAUCCGAUCUUCACCAAACUUGGUCAGCAGUUGCAUCUAGUUGAUAUCUAGGCCAAGUUCGAAUAUGGGUCAUGCCGGGUCAAAAACUAGGUCAUAGGGUCAAUAAGUGCAUUUUCAAAGGGGCCACUUUGUCCGGACUCUAUUUCAAAUUGUAUUCAUCCGAUCUUCACCAAACUUGGUCAGCAGUUGCAUCUAGUUGAUAUAUAGGCCAAGUUCGAAUAUGGGUCAUGCCGGGUCAAAAACUAGGUCAUAGGGUCAAUUAGUGCAUUUUCAACGGCGCCACUUUGUCCGGACUCUAAUUCAAAUUGUAUUCAUCCGAUCUUCACCAAACUUGGUCAGAAGUUGUAUCUAGACAAUAUCUAGGUCAAGUUCGAAUAUGGGUCAUGCCGGGUCAAAAACUAGGUCAUAGGGUCAAUUAGUGCAUUUUCAACGGCGCCACUUUGUCCGGACUCUAAUUCAAAUUGUAUUCAUCCGAUCUUCACCAAACUUGGUCAGAAGUUGUAUCUAGACAAUAUCUAGGUCAAGUUCGAAUAUGGGUCAUGCCGGGUCAAAAACUAGGUCACAGGGUCACUUAGUGUAUUUCAAGCAUUUAGCAUGGUGUCCGCUCUCUAAUUGAAGUAGUUUUCAUCCGAUCUUCACCAAACUUGGUCAGAAGUUGUAUCUAGACAAUGUUUAGGUCAAGUUCAAAUAUGGGUCAUGCCGGGUCAAAAACUAGGUCACAGGGUCACUUAAACCAUUUCAAGCAUUUAGCAUGGUGUCCGCUCUCUAAUUGAAGUAGUUAUCAUCCGAUCUUCACCAAAUUUGGUCAGAAGUUGUGUCUAGACAAUAUCUACAUGUAGGUCAAG